RNAcentral lists this transfer RNA (64 nucleotides) under Bacteriophage sp. RNAcentral describes it as "tRNA-Lys". It matches the Rfam family "tRNA", at positions 5 to 66 of the family's 71-position model. Rfam says of the family: Transfer RNA (tRNA) molecules are approximately 80 nucleotides in length. Their secondary structure includes four short double-helical elements and three loops (D, anti-codon, and T loops). The record is from RNAcentral.
AUAUAGCUUAAAGGUAGAGCAUUCCAUAUUUAAUGGAAAGGUAUGGGUUCGAGUCCCAUUUUAA